GGUAUGAAGUCUACCUGCAAAAUGAUAUAUUUCUAUCUUUCAUGGUUUGGUCUGGGAGUUUUAUGUCAGUCAGUAAGUGAAUCAUUGAGGGCUUGGCUCUUACAAGCAUCUUAAUGAUUUCUCUCUCUGUGACUUUAGUUUUUUCUUAGUUCUAUGGGGUUUCAUUUUCCGUGCUUUCCAGUAGGAGAUUUUUUUCCCUGGAUUUUCUGGGAUAAUGAAUUUUUCCAGGUUUUUGUAUAUUUUUGGUGGUCUGGGCAAGGUCUGGAACUUGUUGCAGAAUGUGAGCUGUCUCUGUGUGGUUUUCAGAACAAACACCAGCACAAGCUUUAAGACUUGACUUUACUUGUGAGACAAACACUUCGAGAGUAGUUUUGAAGACAGCAAGUCCCCCUGCAGCUUUGGAAUAAAGCUUCAAUUAAUUUCUGCAGAACUGAACAGAGGAAGAUUUGUGGCAAAGUGAUAUAGGAAGCAAGAUAUUCUGAAUGUCAUCCAAAGAAAGCAGAAUAGACCAUGUUGCUGGUGAUAGCACAGUUCAAGUGUACAAAGCUUUUCAUACAUAUUAUUUCAGGAAUCUUUAGGACACUCUGUAAGUAAGGUGUUGGAAAGGCAGAAUAUACAAUUGGGGACAGGGGAGAGAUACUGUGCCAAAGCAGCAGCCAAAUGGGGGCAAACAGGCUGUGGAAAGCAGUGAAAAGAGGAGCUUGGGAAGGCUUCAGGAUCCAAAAAAGAUUCCAGGCCUGCUACUGAAAUAUUGAUCCACAAGCCAAAAGUACUUUGCCCAGGAGAUACAACACAACUGUUGGUUGCUGUAUACAUUUAGAGCCUUUGACUUCAUGAGCUGCCCAUUAUUAAAACAUAUUUAACUGAAAGAGCUGCA
Molecule: long non-coding RNA, 877 nt
Organism: Hemicordylus capensis (graceful crag lizard)
Lineage: Eukaryota; Metazoa; Chordata; Lepidosauria; Squamata; Cordylidae
Exons: 4
Source: RefSeq, a predicted model, not a curated record